AUAUACACGUUUCUUCCUAGGUUAAGGGUCUAAUUGUAAAAUAAUUGUAUUUGAUUGAAUAACUAGCCUAAUCUAACUCUCGUGGUCAUACACCUGGACUCUUCAUCAUCAUCAUCAACACUUUGAAUUACCUAGGAAUAUUACUGUAGCAACUGGUUGCUAAGGGAACGAGACACCACCAUUAUCCUCUUGUUGUGUGACUGAGAGGCGGGAUUGGAAAAUUGCACGAGGAGGGGUGGGAAGCGGAGACGGAGCGUGGUUGAAAUUUCACGAAAUGGAUAAGAGGCAGACAAAGUUUGACACGUUUAUGUUUUCAGUGGUUGGCUGACACGAAUGAACGAGUAAACGCUGCUUUUAGCCUAGUGGAAGUAUCACAAAUGAAUACCUCCGUAUUAUUUAUUCACUGCACUGAAUCUCCACGAGGGCACAAGUCCGCCUGACAAUUUUCGCGUAGAGAGGCAGCGCGGGAGAGCUCACUUGUAGCCUGGCAGCCGCCAGCAGCGUCACUAUCCCUCUACCUAACACACUGAGUUGACCUCCUCAGUGCUUGUGUGACGGGUGGUGAGGGUGAAGAAGGAGGGAGAGUUUAUCAGUGACCCAACUUCGCCCAAGAUGGAUGAGGAUUUCCUGAGCAGUACCCUGACUGCCUCUGAAUCAGACCUGUCCUCAACCUCUUUUUUGACAUUGGAGGCGAAGGCGGCCUUCAUCUUUGUCCUCAUCCUUUUCCUCGUCUUGGGCCUCCUGAUCAUACGCUGCUUCCGUAUCUUGCUCGACCCUUACCGCAGCAUGCCCUCCUCUACCUGGACUGACUACAUGGAGAAGGACACCUUUGAUUACCGUAUUGCCUGAGGGGCCUUCCUUAUCAAAGGCUGCUGUACUGCAUAGCCUGAGGUGCUGGUGACCAGAGCUGCUGCAUUGCCAAAGAAGCAUCAAAGAUAACUAUCUAAGAGAGUUUCCACGUGUCCGGAUUCAGCACAUUGAAACACAUCUUCUGAUUCCUGAGUGUUAUCUUGAGAUACGGGCUGACUAUAGAAUUGCCUGAGGACUCCUACUCUGAGGCAGGAACAAUGGCAGUGGGAGGUUCUUCACCUUGGCCACAAGGGGAUCACAGUGUUUCCUGAGCCCUUAAACAUUUCCGAGAUACUGCAAUGCCAGAGGGGUCCUUCACUGGUGCUACGAGGGAAGCUGGUGUUUUGCCCAAGGGACAGGCUAUAGUAACUGAAAUAGAAAAGCUGUUUUUCUCUUGAAGGAACAGGGGGAGCCUGUCCUCUCCUGCAGCAAGUGAUAUAACUACUCCAGUGACUGAGCACCGCUUGAUCACAUCACCUCCUAAACCUGACCUGGCAUGCUAAGAAGACCACCUUUUUGUACACAGCCCUUUCUGAUUUGUGUUCUAAAAUGUUGGUUGUUGGAAAGAUCUUUAAAGCUGUAAUUCUAUGGCCUAGGUUUUAGGUUCCUGUACUUAGUCAGUCAGUAACACACACACACACACACAGUCAUACAGGCCCCCUGUACAAACACACUACACAAACUAUUCUCCUACACAAAGACACCCACACAGACUCGCAACACUCAUGCACUCUAUGCUCAUAUAUACUCAGAAACAUGCAAAGACCUACAAUGACCAUCACACUUUGUCCAAUAUCACACCCCAGGAGCCUUUCGACAAACGUGGGUUUAUUCUGGCCACGUCAGGGGAACGAGUGCAGCACUUUCCUCUCUGUGACAAGGGGUGGGAGUGUGUGUCGUUAUCUCUCAAAUUAGCCUGCAGUUGUCCUUUUUCUGGGAGUGCAUUUCAGUUCAGCCACUGACGAUGAGUCUUAUUACUCUGGCUGUCACUGACAGUGCAGUGACAAGCCUGAAGAAAAUGAUUUCCACGUCAUCUCAACAAAAUAAUUAAAUGUGAUGACGUUGAAUCAGAGUGGAAAACUGGUUGAAUUUGCAAACAGUAAUCAAUGUGAGGGAAUUUCUGCCUAAAUCCAAUGACAGUGAUUUUUUGUUGUUGAUUUCACGUUGAAUUCACAUUAGUUGACAACUCCACCAAAUGUAAAUCAAAACUAGACGUUGAACUGACGUCUGUGCCCAGUGGGGCAACAAUUCACUGAAACACGGCUAUUACUACUACACAGAUGUAGAAUCUUAAUUUGAUCAGUCUUUUGUUGCUGAGAAUUGACAAGCACAGCAGGAAAUGCAACCAUUUAGUGUAUUUGAGGUUUAAAAAGGCUUCUAUAAUUUAUUGUUUCCAUUUAGAAAUUUCUAACUUGAUUUAUUAAAAAAAAAAGUUUUUAUCAACCUUUACAAAAAUGUCCAUUAAUUAUAAUCCACAUAAUAAUUCACAAUGUUCUGUUGCUGGAGGAUGAUUUUCCUGCUGUAGCAAACUGACUAAAAUUAAGAUCCUACAUAUGUAGCACAAGGCUCCUGAAAGUUCUGAAUCCUAACUUGAAAUACAUUUGCGUAACUCAUAGUUUCUGAACUGGGGACCUAUCUCAAUCGACUGAGAGUCAUGUAACCAGGUGGCAUUAUUGAUGCUGUAUACCGGCACAGAUGUUCACCGAAUGCAGACUUUCUCUGUUUCUAAUCCCUUUAAUGCCGAUUUUCACCGCUCUUAGUCUGUCUCCUCCUCUUUGUUAGCUCUUUGCCUUACAUAAAGCUUGUUUACAUUUGACAAACUGGUGGUGGAACAGCCUGGGAGCCUAUAGCGUCAUAAGACAUGUAUUACCCUUUAAGAUAGUUGCCCUAUUCUCUGAUGAAAGUUCCUGUUAUGAUGAGCUGCUGCUCUACCUGCAAAGAGACUCGGAUGAUCUGUGUUGUUUGGUAAACUGGAAAUGCGUGUUACUGUAUGUGAUUAAAUUGGGAUUUUUUUUUUUUGCAGAUCCCAAACCUUAGAACAUGUUUGCUCCUCCUUUGAUGUUCUAGUCCAGGGAUGGGCAACUUUGAUGUGGGUGGGAGCCACCAUAAAUCUGAAGUCAUUAUGAGGGGCUGCAGUGGCUCACGGGUCUGCAUACCCACAUCCAUAACCGCACAUGCAGUCAGAGACAGCCCUAGACUUUUGGGGACCCUGAGCAGAAUGUUUUUGUUUUUUGGGGGGAAAUUCAUCCGCAGGCGUGCAAAAGGACCAGUUUCCCAUCCCUGCUCUAGACUGGCCGUUAGGCAUGUCUCUGGAUUACAGCAUCUGCUAAAUGACUAAAAUGUAAAUGUUAACCAAGGGGUGAUUUUAUUAUUGAAUUAGAUCAUAAGUCAUUUGACAUAAAUAUCCACACAUGUUUUAUUAGACAGCGAUACUAUGAUCUGACAUAUUGACCACAUACAUAUCUGUUUCAUUGGAAUGUCAAGAGGAGAGACGCAACUCAGUUGACUGUAUUUUCCAAAAGGUUGUGGCAUUUUUUUGUUUUUGCAUAUGUCUGUAUACAAGUCCUUAUUGUUGUACUCACUCAUUGGCUUACUGCAUUGGUGACAUCAAUUCACAUUGACAACAAACAGGGCAGUGCAUAAAAUCUUUUUUUGUUUCAGCAUUCAGUUGAACAUGGGUAACUUCAAAAACAUGACUUAAGUGAGAAUAUUGUGUUUACAUUAGAAGUUUAUUCCACUGCAACUCUGUUACUACAUACACCGUCUCAAUGCAAAUGCUUUGAUACAGAUUUGGGAUGGUGGUCAAAUUACAUUAGAAACAAGCCUAUAUUCCAUUUUAGACUUUAUGUACAGAGUUCAAAUUACGACGUGUUGAAUUACUUGACAUGACUAGAAAAGAAAGUAUCUUUACAAUAUAUUUUGUUGUUAUUGAGAGUUAUUCUAAUAGGAUAAACCUGCUGUUUACGUACAAUGGUCCAGCCUACUGUUUAAUCUGUGAUCUCUUUUACAAGUGUUUUUUUUUCUUCUUGUUUAGUAAAUAAAUAAAGCUUCUUCUUGAAUUGAGUAAGA
This is a long non-coding RNA of Oncorhynchus mykiss (rainbow trout), 3918 nucleotides long. RefSeq lists it as uncharacterized. Lineage: Eukaryota; Metazoa; Chordata; Actinopteri; Salmoniformes; Salmonidae. The record is from RefSeq and is a predicted model, not a curated record.